CCUACGGGUGGCAGCAGUGAGGAAUAUUGGUCAAUGGACGCAAGUCUGAACCAGCCAUGCCGCGUGCAGGAUGACGGCUCUAUGAGUUGUAAACUGCUUUUGUACGAGGGUAAAGCCCGAUACGUGUAACGGGUUGAAAGUAUCGUACGAAUAAGGAUCGGCUAACUCCGUGCCAGCAGCCGCGGUAAUACGGAGGAUCCGAGCGUUAUCCGGAUUUAUUGGGUUUAAAGGGUGCGUAGGCGGUUUGAUAAGUUAGAGGUGAAAUGUCGGGGCUCAACCCCGAAACUGCCUCUAAUACUGUUGCACUAGAGUAUAGUAGAGGUAGGCGGAAUGUAUGGUGUAGCGGUGAAAUGCUUAGAGAUCAUACAGAACACCGAUUGCGAAGGCAGCUUACCAAACUAUAUCUGACGUUGAGGCACGAAAGCGUGGGUAGCGAACAGGAUUAGAUACCCCUGUAGUC
Molecule: ribosomal RNA, 460 nt
Filed under: uncultured bacterium
Lineage: Bacteria
Description: partial 16S ribosomal RNA
Rfam family: Bacterial small subunit ribosomal RNA
Source: RNAcentral